Molecule: small nucleolar RNA, 105 nt
Organism: Ziziphus jujuba (common jujube)
Lineage: Eukaryota; Viridiplantae; Streptophyta; Magnoliopsida; Rosales; Rhamnaceae
Source: RefSeq, a predicted model, not a curated record
GCUUAGUAUGUGUACCUGCUGUAAAUAUGGACAAACAGCUAAGUGUAGGCUUUAGGUGGGCAUGCAGUUAGUUUCAGAUUGCCCAUAAAGGUCCUACAAACAUGG